This 243-nucleotide long non-coding RNA is filed under the name Capra hircus (goat). RNAcentral's name for it is "lncRNA (ENSCHIG00010002562.1)". The record is from RNAcentral. Lineage: Eukaryota; Metazoa; Chordata; Mammalia; Artiodactyla; Bovidae.
AUGGGCAGCCAGAGGUUAGAUUCCUCACCUGAAUUCUUGGGCUUUAAUGUAGGAGAAGCGACUGCAGUCAAUGUCUGGCCAGCCUAUGAAGUGCCAUCCUUGGGGCAGCUGGCCCUUGGUCUUCUCAGGAUUGAGAUGGGGCCCCUUAUCACAGUACAGAGCACUGGCACUUAUAGCAUCAGGAAGGCAGAUGCCCUCAGGUGGGGCUUGAGCAGCCCAGCUCUGGUGGCACUUGGGCUUUGU